RNAcentral lists this ribosomal RNA (458 nucleotides) under uncultured bacterium. RNAcentral describes it as "partial 16S ribosomal RNA". It matches the Rfam family "Bacterial small subunit ribosomal RNA", at positions 338 to 795 of the family's 1533-position model. The record is from RNAcentral.
CCUACGGGUGGCAGCAGUGAGGAAUAUUGGUCAAUGGGCGAGAGCCUGAACCAGCCAAGUCGCGUGCGGGAGUACUGCCCUCUGGGUUGUAAACCUCUUUUGUCGGGGAGCAAAAGCCGGAUGUGUCCGGCUUUGAGAGUACCCGAAGAAAAAGCAUCGGCUAACUCCGUGCCAGCGGCCGCGGUAAUACGGAGGAUGCGUGCGUUAUCCGGAUUUAUUGGGUUUAAGGGGUGCGCAGGCGGAGUUUUAAUUCAGCGGUAAAAUCGUGGGGCUCAACCCCAUCCAGCCGUUGAAACUGGGGAUCUAGAGUGGGCGAGAGGUAUGCGGAAUGCGUGGUGUAGCGGUGAAAUGCAUAGAUAUCACGCAGAACCCCGAUUGCGAAGGCAGCAUACCGGUGCACAACUGACGCUCAGGCACGAAAGCGUGGGUAGCGAACAGGAUUAGAUACCCCAGUAGUC